RNAcentral lists this ribosomal RNA (451 nucleotides) under uncultured bacterium. RNAcentral's name for it is "partial 16S ribosomal RNA". It matches the Rfam family "Bacterial small subunit ribosomal RNA", at positions 354 to 796 of the family's 1533-position model. The record is from RNAcentral.
GUGGGGAAUAUUGGACAAUGGGGGGAACCCUGAUCCAGCCAUGCCGCGUGUGUGAAGAAGGCCUUUUGGUUGUAAAGCACUUUAAGCGAGGAGGAGGCUACCGAGAUUAAUACUCUUGGAUAGUGGACGUUACUCGCAGAAUAAGCACCGGCUAACUCUGUGCCAGCAGCCGCGGUAAUACAGAGGGUGCAAGCGUUAAUCGGAUUUACUGGGCGUAAAGCGCGCGUAGGUGGCCAAUUAAGUCAAAUGUGAAAUCCCCGAGCUUAACUUGGGAAUUGCAUUCGAUACUGGUUGGCUAGAGUAUGGGAGAGGAUGGUAGAAUUCCAGGUGUAGCGGUGAAAUGCGUAGAGAUCUGGGGGAAUACCGAUGGCGAAGGCAGCCAUCUGGCCUAAUACUGACACUGAGGUGCGAAAGCAUGGGGAGCAAACAGGAUUAGAAACCCGUGUAGUCC